RNAcentral lists this unclassified non-coding RNA (207 nucleotides) under Hevea brasiliensis (rubber tree). Lineage: Eukaryota; Viridiplantae; Streptophyta; Magnoliopsida; Malpighiales; Euphorbiaceae. The record is from RNAcentral.
GCCCAGUAAUAUAUUUCUUUCUCGUGCCAUUAAAAACACAAAAUCCUGGUAUUACAAAACGCACCUUGUUACCAUGUGUCAUUAUGACCCAGAUAUUCUUUAAGAUGGGCCUCAUGCUCGUCAGGAGAAAUCUGUUUAUCUUUCCACAAGUUUUCAAGCGUUCUUGUCCCUCGAAUCUUUGAUGUGGUUUCAUGAUAAAGCUUGCAA